Molecule: ribosomal RNA, 450 nt
Filed under: uncultured bacterium
Lineage: Bacteria
Description: partial 16S ribosomal RNA
Rfam family: Bacterial small subunit ribosomal RNA
Source: RNAcentral
CCUACGGGUGGCUGCAGUGAGGAAUAUUGGUCAAUGGGCGGAAGCCUGAACCAGCCAUCCCGCGUGAAGGAAGACAGCCUUACGGGUUGUAAACUUCUUUUCUGUCAGAAGAAUAAGCUUGUCGAGACGAGUGAUGCCGGUAUGACAGGAAUAAGCAUCGGCUAACUCCGUGCCAGCAGCCGCGGUAAUACGGAGGAUGCAAGCGUUAUUGGGAUUUAUGGGGUUUAAAGGGUGUGCAUGAGUCAGGGUAGAAAGUCUGUCGCUUAACGGUAGGAUUGCCAUUGAUACUGUUAGACUUGAAUAUGGAUGAGGUAGGCGGAAUGUGUAGUGUAGCGGUGAAAUGCAUAGAUAUUACACAGAACACCGAUUGCGAAGGCAGCUUACUAAUCCAUCAUUGACGCUGAGGCACGAAAGCGUGGGGAUCAAACAGGAUUAGAUACCCGGGUAGUC